GACGAACGCUGGCGGCGUGCCUAAUACAUGCAAGUCGAACGCACUCUCGUUUAGAUUGAAGGAGCUUGCUCCUGAUUGAUAAACAUUUGAGUGAGUGGCGGACGGGUGAGUAACACGUGGGUAACCUGCCCUAAAGUGGGGGAUAACAUUUGGAAACAGAUGCUAAUACCGCAUAAAACCUAACACCGCAUGGUGUAGGGUUGAAAGAUGGUUUCGGCUAUCACUUUAGGACUGGACCCGCGGUGCAUUAGUUAGUUGGUGAGGUAAAGGCUCACCAAGACCGUGAUGCAUAGCCGACCUGAGAGGGUAAUCGGCCACACUGGGACUGAGACACGGCCCAGACUCCUACGGGAGGCAGCAGUAGGGAAUCGUUCCACAAUGGACGAAAGUCUGAUGGAGCAACGCCGCGUGAGUGAGAA
Molecule: ribosomal RNA, 419 nt
Filed under: uncultured bacterium
Lineage: Bacteria
Description: bacterial SSU rRNA
Rfam family: Bacterial small subunit ribosomal RNA
Source: RNAcentral